UACAUCAGUUCCCUGCAGUAGGGCAGGAUGU
Molecule: non-coding RNA, 31 nt
Filed under: Rattus norvegicus (Norway rat)
Lineage: Eukaryota; Metazoa; Chordata; Mammalia; Rodentia; Muridae
Source: RNAcentral